AGCACGUUUUAAAUUUGGUGAUGA
This 24-nucleotide non-coding RNA is filed under the name Arabidopsis thaliana (thale cress). Lineage: Eukaryota; Viridiplantae; Streptophyta; Magnoliopsida; Brassicales; Brassicaceae. The record is from RNAcentral.